AUUGAACGCUGGCGGCAGGCUUAACACAUGCAAGUCGAGCGGGGGAAGGUAGCUUGCUACUGGACCUAGCGGCGGACGGGUGAGUAAUGCUUAGGAAUCUGCCUAUUAGUGGGGGACAACAUCUCGAAAGGGAUGCUAAUACCGCAUACGUCCUACGGGAGAAAGCAGGGGAGCUUGGGACAUUGCGCUAAUAGAUGAGCCUAAGUCGGAUUAGCUAGUUGGUGGGGUAAAGGCCUACCAAGGCGACGAUCUGUAGCGGGUCUGAGAGGAGGAUCCGCCACACUGGGACUGAGACACGGCCCAGACUCCUACGGGAGGCAGCAGUGGGGAAUAUUGGACAAUGGGGGGAACCCUGAUCCAGCCAUGCCGCGUGUGUGAAGAAGGCCUUAUGGUUGUAAAGCACUUUAAGCGAGGAGGAGGCUACUCUAGUUAAUACCUAGGGAUAGUGGACGUUACUCGCAGAAUAAGCACCGGCUAACUCUGUGCCAGCCGCCGCCGUAA
Molecule: ribosomal RNA, 501 nt
Filed under: uncultured bacterium
Lineage: Bacteria
Description: partial 16S ribosomal RNA
Rfam family: Bacterial small subunit ribosomal RNA
Source: RNAcentral